UGGGGAAUAUUGGACAAUGGGCGCAAGCCUGAUCCAGCCAUGCCGCGGGAGUGAUGAAGGCCCUAGGGUUGUAAAGCUCUUUCACCGGUGAAGAUAAUGACGGUAACCGGAGAAGAAGCCCCGGCUAACUUCGUGCCAGCAGCCGCGGUAAUACGAAGGGGGCUAGCGUUGUUCGGAAUUACUGGGCGUAAAGCGCACGUAGGCGGAUCGAUCAGUUAGGGGUGAAAUCCCGGGGCUCAACCCCGGAACUGCCUCUAAUACUGUCUAUCUGGAGUUCGAGAGAGGUGAGUGGAAUUCCGAGUGUAGAGGUGAAAUUCGUAGAUAUUCGGAGGAACACCAGUGGCGAAGGCGGCUCACUUGCUCGAUACUGACGCUGAGGUGCGAAAGCGUGGGGAGCAAACA
RNAcentral lists this ribosomal RNA (402 nucleotides) under uncultured bacterium. RNAcentral describes it as "bacterial SSU rRNA". It matches the Rfam family "Bacterial small subunit ribosomal RNA", at positions 355 to 774 of the family's 1533-position model. The record is from RNAcentral.